GAUGAAGAACGUAGCGAAAUGCGAUAAGUAAUGUGAAUUGCAGAAUUCCGUGAAUCAUCGAAUCUUUGAACGCACAUUGCGCCCCCUGGCAUUCCGGGGGGCAUGCCUGUCCGAGCGUCAUUUCUGCCCUCAAGCACGGCUUGUGUGUUGGGUGUGGUCCCCCCGGGGACCUGCCCGAAAGGCAGCGGCGACGUCCGUCUGGUCCUCGAGCGUAUGGGGCUCUGUCACUCGCUCGGGAAGGACCUGCGGGGGUUGGUCACCACUAUAUUUUACCACGGUUGACCUCGGAUCAGGUAGGAGUUACCCGCUGAACUUAAGCAUAACAAUAAGCGGAGGA
This 337-nucleotide unclassified non-coding RNA is filed under the name soil metagenome. RNAcentral's name for it is "partial contains 5.8S ribosomal RNA, internal transcribed spacer 2, and large subunit ribosomal RNA". The stretch from base 1 to 120 matches the Rfam family "5.8S ribosomal RNA", at positions 35 to 154 of the family's 154-position model. The record is from RNAcentral.